GAUGAACGCUGGCGGCGCGCCUAACACAUGCAAGUCGAACGGGAACAUCCGUAGCAAUAUGGGUGUUUUAGUGGCGGACGGGUGAGUAACGCGUGAGGAACCUGCCUUUCGGAGGGGAAUAACACAUCGAAAGAUGUGCUAAUACCGCAUAAUGUCAUCGGGUGGCAUCGCCUGAUGACCAAAAGAGCAAUCUGCCGAAAGAUGGCCUCGCGUCCGAUUAGAUAGUUGGUGAGGUAACGGCCCACCAAGUCUGCGAUCGGUAGCCGGACUGAGAGGUUGAACGGCCACAUUGGGACUGAGACACGGCCCAGACUCCUACGGGAGGCAGCAGUGGGGGAUAUUGCGCAAUGGGGGCAACCCUGACGCAGCAACGCCGCGUGAGUGAGGAAGGUUUUCGGACUGUAAAGCUCUGUCGAGCGGGAAGAAGUGUACCAUGGCUAAUAUCCAUGAUAUUUGACGGUACCGCUAGAGGAAGCACCGGCUAACUCCG
RNAcentral lists this ribosomal RNA (490 nucleotides) under uncultured bacterium. RNAcentral describes it as "bacterial SSU rRNA". It matches the Rfam family "Bacterial small subunit ribosomal RNA", at positions 28 to 505 of the family's 1533-position model. The record is from RNAcentral.